CCUACGGGGGGCAGCAGUGAGGAAUAUUGGUCAAUGGGCGCUAGCCUGAACCAGCCACGUCGCGUGAAGGAUGACUGCCCUAUGGGUUGUAAACUUCUUUUAUAUGGGAAUAAAGUGCAGUAUGUAUACUGCUUUGCAUGUACCUUAUGAAUAAGGAUCGGCUAACUCCGUGCCAGCAGCCGCGGUAAUACGGAGGAUCCGAGCGUUAUCCGGAUUUAUUGGGUGUAAAGGGAGUGUAGGCGGGUUGUUAAGUCAGUUGUGAAAGUUGGCGGCUCAACCGUAAAAUUGCAGUUGAUACUGGCAGCCUUGAGUACAGUAGAGGUAGGCGGAAUUCGUGGUGUAGCGGUGAAAUGCUUAGAUAUCACGAAGAACUCCGAUUGCGAAGGCAGCCUGCUGGACUGUAACUGACGCUGAUGCUCGAAAGUGUGGGUAUCAAACAGGAUUAGAUACCCGGGUAGUC
Molecule: ribosomal RNA, 460 nt
Filed under: uncultured bacterium
Lineage: Bacteria
Description: partial 16S ribosomal RNA
Rfam family: Bacterial small subunit ribosomal RNA
Source: RNAcentral